This 238-nucleotide ribosomal RNA is filed under the name uncultured bacterium. Its description in RNAcentral is "partial 16S ribosomal RNA". It matches the Rfam family "Bacterial small subunit ribosomal RNA", at positions 524 to 762 of the family's 1533-position model. The record is from RNAcentral.
UACGAAGGGUGCAAGCGUUACUCGGAAUUACUGGGCGUAAAGCGUGCGUAGGUGGUGAGUUAAGUCUGAUGUGAAAUCCCCGGGCUCAACCUGGGAAUGGCAUUUGGGACUGCAAGGCUUGAGUGCGGCAGAGGAGACUGGAAUUCCUGGUGUAGCAGUGAAAUGCGUAGAUAUCAGGAGGAAUACCGAUGGCGAAGGCAGGUCUCUGGGCUGACACUGACGCUCAUGCACGAAGCGU